Macrobrachium nipponense is the source of this 1557-nucleotide long non-coding RNA. RefSeq lists it as uncharacterized. Lineage: Eukaryota; Metazoa; Arthropoda; Malacostraca; Decapoda; Palaemonidae. The record is from RefSeq and is a predicted model, not a curated record. The transcript has 3 exons.
GAAGCGAACAAAAUUCAGUCCUUUUCUUCUUUCGUUGGAAGUCUCUGAUUGAUUGAGAAGAAUUCUUCGUAGAUUUCGGAGCUCGUUUUCUGUCACCCUCCUCAAAAUAUCUACAGGAUUCGUGGUUUGAAGGUUGUUGCUCAAGAAGGCAAAAGACUGCUGUUGAUUACCCUGCUCCAAAAUACUCUUCUCAGAAUACGGAAAGAUAAAAGGUUGAAAGGAAGAGUGAAGUGGAGAAGGGCAGUCUCCCCCCACCCCCACUAAAAAAAAAAGAAAAAAAAACGGGUUCCAGUAUGUUUACGCCUGCCGAAUAUCUUGAGGUCUCGAGUGGAAUACCAUUAUGAAAUUAAUUCUUGGAUAUAAAGAAUGGCGAAAUGUUUUUGAUAGUGAAUAAACAUCGGCUGAAGAGGUAGGAAGUCUCCUGGUAACGUCUGUUUCGGUAAAGAUGGAGGAAGUUACGUAAAGCCUUAGGAACAACAAACUUGAAAAGACUUAAUCGAAAAAUGUCUUGCAAGAAGUGAGCUGCUACCGAGGAAAUGGCCGACUGCAAGAGCAUUUGGAGCAAGCUACUUAUAAGAGCGCAUAAUGCAAUGUCGGGAGGCGUCAGACCAGAAGGGCGCUGCUGCUGUUUAUAGGGUGAUCGUUCCAAGAAGUUGACAGAAAUGGAGUAGGGCUGUUAGAGGUAAGACAUGUUAAGCUGCAGUCCAGAGAGAAGCAAUUUAGCAAGACAGGAAAAGCAGCAAAUGAGUGAUAGCAAAGAGGAGGGAAGUCACGAGAAGUAACAGCCUGGAGUUGAGCGGGUUGCACAAGAAGAGAUUAUUUCUAAACUGAUGAAGCAGCUGCAAGAAAAGAGAACAAGUUGUUUGUAAUUAGUAAACCAAGAGAGGAAAGUGACCCUAGUAUCCAGUUAUCGUGAAAUAAAUAUCAAGAACCCAAACCAAAACAGAAAAUAAUGGGGAAUCGGAUUAAAACAACCUCAAAAUUAAUGCUGUAAUCUUAACCAGUUUCUUCCAGUUUAGUGAAAAAUAAUUUAAUUAUUUACUUCCAUAACAAGUGUUCUGUUUAAAUAGCCAUUUUGGUUUAUGAAUCUUAAAUGAAUGUUUUUAGAGUAACAGUUAAAAAUAAUCCUCGGUCUUUGGUUUCCUUAUUUCUUUUAAUCCUCAUUCUUUGUGUUCCUUAUAGUUGCCCCUUGAAUUGUUUUUAAAACUGAGUAUAAGUUAAAGAAUUAAUCCUUCAAAUUUUCUAUUAUAAUAUACAUUACAAUCAUCUCUAGUCUCUUUCUUCGAAUCUUCACCGAUCUUAUUGUAUUCCAUAGAUUUUUCUGUAGUGUACUAGUCUGGGAUUAAAGUAUCACUUAAAAUCCCUGGAAUCUAAGAUAGUUAACUUCAUCUUCCUUCAUAAUUUAACUUGGUCGCCGUCGGUGAUUCACCUGAGGAAAAAUUUAAUCUAUUUUAAACCAACCGAAUGAGUUUUAAUACUAACAAAGUGAACUUAUGUUGAAGUAUGCUUUUGGCAAGCGAAAACCGUAUUAAAUUUCAAUUUAUAAUAAGGUUUUUA